RNAcentral lists this ribosomal RNA (904 nucleotides) under uncultured Bacteroidota bacterium. RNAcentral's name for it is "bacterial SSU rRNA". It matches the Rfam family "Bacterial small subunit ribosomal RNA", at positions 1 to 902 of the family's 1533-position model. The record is from RNAcentral. Lineage: Bacteria; Pseudomonadati; Bacteroidota.
UGGAUCCAGACUUUGAUCAUGGCUCAGGAUGAACGCUAGCUAUAGGCUUAACACAUGCAAGUCGAGGGGCAUCAGGAUGUAGCAAUACAUUGCUGGCGACCGGCGCACGGGUGAGUAACACGUAUCCAACCUGCCUUUUACUCGGGGAUAGGCUUUCGAAAGAAAGAUUAAUACCCGAUGGUAUAAUAUUUCCGCAUGGGAUUAUUAUUAAAGAAUUUCGGUAAAAGAUGGGGAUGCGUUCCAUUAGGCAGUUGGCGGGGUAACGGCCCACCAAACCUUCGAUGGAUAGGGGUUCUGAGAGGAAGGUCCCCCACAUUGGAACUGAGACACGGUCCAAACUCCUACGGGAGGCAGCAGUGAGGAAUAUUGGUCAAUGGGCGAAAGCCUGAACCAGCCAAGUAGCGUGAAGGAUGACUGCCCUAUGGGUUGUAAACUUCUUUUAUAGGGGAAUAAAAUGAGCCACGUGUGGCUUUUUGUAUGUACCCUAUGAAUAAGGAUCGGCUAACUCCGUGCCAGCAGCCGCGGUAAUACGGAGGAUCCGAGCGUUAUCCGGAUUUAUUGGGUUUAAAGGGAGCGUAGGUGGACAUGUAAGUCAGUUGUGAAAGUUUGCGGCUCAACCGUAAAAUUGCAGUUGAUACUGUGUGUCUUGAGUACAGUAGAGGUGGGCGGAAUUCGUGGUGUAGCGGUGAAAUGCUUAGAUAUCACGAAGAACUCCGAUUGCGAAGGCAGCUCACUGGACUGUUACUGACACUGAGGCUCGAAAGUGUGGGUAUCAAACAGGAUUAGAUACCCUGGUAGUCCACACAGUAAACGAUGAAUACUCGCUGUUUGCGAUAUACAGCAAGCGGCCAAGCGAAAGCAUUAAGUAUUCCACCUGGGGAGUACGCCGGCAACGGUGCAACUC